CCUACGGGAGGCAGCAGUGGGGGAUAUUGCACAAUGGGGGGAACCCUGAUGCAGCGACGCCGCGUGGGCGAUGGAGUGCUUCGGCAUGUAAAGCCCUAUCAGCAGGGAAGAAAAUGACGGUACCUGACUAAGAAGCCCCGGCGAAAUACGUGCCAGCAGCCGCGGUAAUACGUAUGGGGCAAGCGUUAUCCGGAUUUACUGGGUGUAAAGGGAGCGUAGGCGGCCUGGCAAGCCUGAUGUGAAAUACCGGGGCCCAACCCCGGGGCGGCAUUGGGAACUGCCAGGCUGGAGUGCCGGAGAGGCAGGCGGAAUUCCUAGUGUAGCGGUGAAAUGCGUAGAUAUUAGGAGGAACACCGGCGGCGAAGGCGGCCUGCUGGACCGCGACUGACGUUGAGGCUCGAAAGCGUGGGGAGCGAACAGGAUUAGAUACCCGGGUAGUC
This 440-nucleotide ribosomal RNA is filed under the name uncultured bacterium. RNAcentral describes it as "partial 16S ribosomal RNA". It matches the Rfam family "Bacterial small subunit ribosomal RNA", at positions 338 to 795 of the family's 1533-position model. The record is from RNAcentral.